CUGGCUAUAACAUAGCUUGAUUUAAUUGAAUAAUACCCAUUGUUGCUGUAAUGCCAAAGAUACUCACCAGUAGAGCAAGGAAAUUUGACACCAUCCUCAUGAAAGUUUUCACUAAGAGUUGAGAUGUGCCAGGAAUGAGGUGAUUGCUCUAUUAAUUUGUGUGCCCAGACCACAUUCAAAUCAUGAUUACCUUUAACCCGCGG
This 203-nucleotide unclassified non-coding RNA is filed under the name Hevea brasiliensis (rubber tree). Lineage: Eukaryota; Viridiplantae; Streptophyta; Magnoliopsida; Malpighiales; Euphorbiaceae. The record is from RNAcentral.